RNAcentral lists this ribosomal RNA (2907 nucleotides) under Escherichia albertii. Its description in RNAcentral is "23S ribosomal RNA". It matches the Rfam family "Bacterial large subunit ribosomal RNA". Lineage: Bacteria; Pseudomonadati; Pseudomonadota; Gammaproteobacteria; Enterobacterales; Enterobacteriaceae. The record is from RNAcentral.
GGUUAAGCGACUAAGCGUACACGGUGGAUGCCCUGGCAGUCAGAGGCGAUGAAGGACGUGCUAAUCUGCGAAAAGCGUCGGUAAGGUGAUAUGAACCGUUAUAACCGGCGAUGUCCGAAUGGGGAAACCCAGUGUGUUUCGACACACUAUCAUUAACUGAAUCCAUAGGUUAAUGAGGCGAACCGGGGGAACUGAAACAUCUAAGUACCCCGAGGAAAAGAAAUCAACCGAGAUUCCCCCAGUAGCGGCGAGCGAACGGGGAGGAGCCCAGAGCCUGAAUCAGUGUGUGUGUUAGUGGAAGCGUCUGGAAAGGCGCGCGAUACAGGGUGACAGCCCCGUACACAAAAAUGCACAUGCUGUGAGCUCGAUGAGUAGGGCGGGACACGUGGUAUCCUGUCUGAAUAUGGGGGGACCAUCCUCCAAGGCUAAAUACUCCUGACUGACCGAUAGUGAACCAGUACCGUGAGGGAAAGGCGAAAAGAACCCCGGCGAGGGGAGUGAAAAAGAACCUGAAACCGUGUACGUACAAGCAGUGGGAGCCCUGAUUUAUCAGGGUGACUGCGUACCUUUUGUAUAAUGGGUCAGCGACUUAUAUUCUGUAGCAAGGUUAACCGAAUAGGGGAGCCGGAGGGAAACCGAGUCUUAACUGGGCGUUAAGUUGCAGGGUAUAGACCCGAAACCCGGUGAUCUAGCCAUGGGCAGGUUGAAGGUUGGGUAACACACUAACUGGAGGACCGAACCGACUAAUGUUGAAAAAUUAGCGGAUGACUUGUGGCUGGGGGUGAAAGGCCAAUCAAACCGGGAGAUAGCUGGUUCUCCCCGAAAGCUAUUUAGGUAGCGCCUCGUGAAUUCAUCUCCGGGGGUAGAGCACUGUUUCGGCAAGGGGGUCAUCCCGACUUACCAACCCGAUGCAAACUGCGAAUACCGGAGAAUGUUAUCACGGGAGACACACGGCGGGUGCUAACGUCCGUCGUGAAGAGGGAAACAACCCAGACCGCCAGCUAAGGUCCCAAAGUCAUGGUUAAGUGGGAAACGAUGUGGGAAGGCCCAGACAGCCAGGAUGUUGGCUUAGAAGCAGCCAUCAUUUAAAGAAAGCGUAAUAGCUCACUGGUCGAGUCGGCCUGCGCGGAAGAUGUAACGGGGCUAAACCAUGCACCGAAGCUGCGGCAGCGACACUGUGUGUUGUUGGGUAGGGGAGCGUUCUGUAAGCCUGCGAAGGUGUGCUGUGAGGUAUGCUGGAGGUAUCAGAAGUGCGAAUGCUGACAUAAGUAACGAUAAAGCGGGUGAAAAGCCCGCUCGCCGGAAGACCAAGGGUUCCUGUCCAACGUUAAUCGGGGCAGGGUGAGUCGACCCCUAAGGCGAGGCCGAAAGGCGUAGUCGAUGGGAAACAGGUUAAUAUUCCUGUACUUGGUGUUACUGCGAAGGGGGGACGGAGAAGGCUAUGUUGGCCGGGCGACGGUUGUCCCGGUUUAAGCGUGUAGGCUGGUUUUCCAGGCAAAUCCGGAAAAUCAAGGCUGAGGCGUGAUGACGAGGCACUACGGUGCUGAAGCGACAAAUGCCCUGCUUCCAGGAAAAGCCUCUAAGCAUCAGGUAACAUCAAAUCGUACCCCAAACCGACACAGGUGGUCAGGUAGAGAAUACCAAGGCGCUUGAGAGAACUCGGGUGAAGGAACUAGGCAAAAUGGUGCCGUAACUUCGGGAGAAGGCACGCUGAUAUGUAGGUGAAGCGACUUGCUCGUGGAGCUGAAAUCAGUCGAAGAUACCAGCUGGCUGCAACUGUUUAUUAAAAACACAGCACUGUGCAAACACGAAAGUGGACGUAUACGGUGUGACGCCUGCCCGGUGCCGGAAGGUUAAUUGAUGGGGUCAGCGCAAGCGAAGCUCUUGAUCGAAGCCCCGGUAAACGGCGGCCGUAACUAUAACGGUCCUAAGGUAGCGAAAUUCCUUGUCGGGUAAGUUCCGACCUGCACGAAUGGCGUAAUGAUGGCCAGGCUGUCUCCACCCGAGACUCAGUGAAAUUGAACUCGCUGUGAAGAUGCAGUGUACCCGCGGCAAGACGGAAAGACCCCGUGAACCUUUACUAUAGCUUGACACUGAACACUGGUCCUUGAUGUGUAGGAUAGGUGGGAGGCUUUGAAGUGUGGACGCCAGUCUGCAUGGAGCCGUCCUUGAAAUACCACCCUUUAAUGGCUGGUGUUCUAACGUGGGCCCGUAAUCCGGGUUGCGGACAGUGUCUGGUGGGUAGUUUGACUGGGGCGGUCUCCUCCUAAAGAGUAACGGAGGAGCACGAAGGUUGGCUAAUCCUGGUCGGACAUCAGGAGGUUAGUGCAAUGGCAUAAGCCAGCUUGACUGCGAGCGUGACGGCGCGAGCAGGUGCGAAAGCAGGUCAUAGUGAUCCGGUGGUUCUGAAUGGAAGGGCCAUCGCUCAACGGAUAAAAGGUACUCCGGGGAUAACAGGCUGAUACCGCCCAAGAGUUCAUAUCGACGGCGGUGUUUGGCACCUCGAUGUCGGCUCAUCACAUCCUGGGGCUGAAGUAGGUCCCAAGGGUAUGGCUGUUCGCCAUUUAAAGUGGUACGCGAGCUGGGUUUAGAACGUCGUGAGACAGUUCGGUCCCUAUCUGCCGUGGGCGCUGGAGAACUGAGGGGGGCUGCUCCUAGUACGAGAGGACCGGAGUGGACGCAUCACUGGUGUUCGGGUUGUCAUGCCAAUGGCACUGCCCGGUAGCUAAAUGCGGAAGAGAUAAGUGCUGAAAGCAUCUAAGCACGAAACUUGCCCCGAGAUGAGUUCUCCCUGAGACUUAGAGUCUCCUGAAGGAACGUUGAAGACGACGACGUUGAUAGGCCGGGUGUGUAAGCGCAGCGAUGCGUUGAGCUAACCGGUACUAAUGAACCGUGAGGCUUAACCUU